GCCCGGUUAGCUCAAUUGGCAGAGCGUAAGACUCUUAGCGAUUGCUAGCAAUCUUAAGGUUGCGAGUUCGACCCUCGCAUCGGGCU
Lineolata rhizophorae is the source of this 86-nucleotide non-coding RNA. Lineage: Eukaryota; Fungi; Ascomycota; Dothideomycetes; Lineolatales; Lineolataceae. The record is from the annotation of a GenBank genome assembly.